Molecule: long non-coding RNA, 4089 nt
Organism: Bubalus bubalis (water buffalo)
Lineage: Eukaryota; Metazoa; Chordata; Mammalia; Artiodactyla; Bovidae
Exons: 6
Source: RefSeq, a predicted model, not a curated record
AUAAUAUUUAUAAAAUACUUAACUUCUUUAGAAGGAAAAUCCCCGCCAAGUCCAAUGUGUAUACUAUUAUCAUUGACUCUCCCCAACCCCAUCAAUCACACAUGAUUCGUUAGCUGGUGUUUUCUCUCUCAGCAGCUGCAUUUUUAACCCUUUUUUUUUCCCCCAUUAAAGUAUUCCAGGAAGUUGAGAUGAAUACUAUUCCGUGUGAACCUCACACCUUCUUUAAAAAUCGCAGCGUGUUCUACACUAAUUAAAAAGGCGAUAUUUUUUUUAAUCCUCCCAACAUCUCACUGAGAUAGGGGAGGGAUGCUAUUAUUAUCCUAAUUUUGCAGCUAGGGAAACUGACACAGAGACACUCACUCACUCAGCACUAGAUGGAGGAUGAUAAUAGAUGUAGAAAUUGAAUCUUUUGGUUUCUAUUCUUAAGCUGAUGAUUCACAAUAAAAAUCACACUUGAGAAUGCAAUAAACUCUUCUGAAUCUGUGGAGGUAAAAAAAACAACAACACUUUUUUCUCUCCCCUAAACAAUGUUACACUCUAGAAAUAAAACAUUGACCAUGAAGCUGUUCAGACAGUAAUUUGCAACAGUAAAGUUGCCAGAUUGUACUGCCUAUUACAGAAAGCAUGUGAAGGGAGCUGAAGGGGCUGGUAAUCCCCUUCCUCGGGGCCUUUAGCCUGAAGUCUCAAAGCAUGGCUUGGUCUGCAGGCUUGUACUUAGCUGUUUAGUUGCGUCAGACUCUUUGCGACCCCAUGGACUGUAGCCCUCCAGGCUCCUCUGCCGGUGGGAUUUCCCAGGCAAGAACUCUGGAGUGGGUUGCCAUUUCCUUCUCUAAGAGAUCUUCCCGAGCCAGGGAUUGAACCCCCAUCUCUUGUGUCUCCUGCAUCGGCAGGCUGAUUCUUUACUACUGCACCACCUGGAAAACUCCGUAUGGGGCUGUGAUUCCUACAUCAGGCUGAAAUCAUGCUUGUUUGACAUGCUAACAUUAAAGCCCUUUUCUGUUGCAUUGGCGCAUAAUUUUGCCUUAUUUUUCUCAGCGAUGAAAACAAGUUGCCCAUGCUAAAAACAGACUAAUAAAGUACAGCUGAUUUCUUUAUUAGUUAUUCAAAUACUUAUUGAGCCCUGAUGACAUACCAAGCCCCUGGAUGUUGGAGAGACCAAGAUGAACAAGAGAAGCUGAGUCUCCUCCCUCACAGAGACUACAUCAAAGUAGGAGUCACCAUAAGCAAACAGCAAACAGAAUAAUUAAAAGCAUCUGCUGUUCCUAUCUGAUGAGUUACAGGCAUUGUUUAGUCACUAAGUCCCAUCCAAAUCUUUUGUGACCCCAUGGACUGUAGUCCGUCAGGCUCUUCUGUCCAUGGGAAUCUCUAGUCAAGAAUACUGGAGUGGGUUGCCAUUUCUUUCUCCAGGGGAGCUUCCCCAUCCAGGGAUCGAACCCAUGUCUCCUGCAUUGGCAGGUGGAUUCUUUACCACUGAGCCACCUGGGAAGCCCAUCAUGAUGGGCUGAGGUCCAUGAAGUAAAUAGAGCCGAGUGGAGUUUGGCAAGUGAUGGAGGUGGGGCGUCAAAUGGGAGUUAUGUGAAGACGAGCCCUUUCAGCAGAGACUUGAACCUUAAAGACAGGAACUGCUAGCAAAGCAUAUUCCAAGCAGAGGGAACAAAAAUAUAAGGGCUUUGUUUCCCCAGUCCUAAAAAGCUUUUCUGUUUCUUGCGCAUUUUUCAAGACAAGCCCACGUGGUCUUGCUAAUCAUUUUCUUCCUUCGGGUGGGGGGAGGGGCGGGGGGCUUCGGCACAUCUGCUUUUUUUCUUCAUUCCAGCCCUUGUAAGUGACAAUGUGGCAACAGGCUGUGGGGUGUUCCCCACCGAGACCUCCUCCAUUCCCUUGGGUCCAUGGCACCAAGCAGAGGACCCCACAAAGCUUCCAGGAAAUACCUGGAACGCAAACUUCUGUUUGGGCGCACGCCUUUUAUGUCCUGGCUGAAUAUGAAACCAUUCCACACCACAUAAAAGACUUGAUAAGAGAUCAGCUAGCUAGCUGUUGGAACGAAGCAUCUUCAUGCUUCCAAAGUUCUCCUUAUCUUGUUUUAUUUGCCUCGUUUCUGUUUGGCACCAAGUGGAGGACGGGACAUGGGCAACACCUUACCAAAACAAUGAUUUCUUCCUGAAACGUCACCGGUUUCUGGAACUGGCUCUUGGCACCUGGUGGGGGACAUUUCAACCCCGGGAGGUAGAUAAAUUAUGUUUCAUGCUCUCAGGGCACAUCCCUGGCUUUCUGGGUCGCAGACACCUCCAAGAACACAGGAAUUAGACCACAGUUGACUCUUCUUGUGCCAAACAGCAGUGGCUGAACCACGGAGGCAGCUAGUUCCCUGGGACGGCUGUUUCUAAUUGCUGUUCCUCUCCACCGUUCUGGCUUUGUUUGGAGAGUAAAGAAAGUUUCUAAAUAUUUUGAACCCUGGGGUCCUUUGUGGCAUUCCCUGGUCUCUUCUCCUUUCACUGAAACAUAAAACAACCAGCGACUAUUUGCUUGUGUAGCCAUUUCCAUGUGUAUACACUCGGGAGGAUGGGGAUACAAUUCAACAAACUGGUUCCCUCUCAGCUUCUGUCACGUUCCUUCCGAUGUGAAAGGCUGAGGACCUAGAAACACUUGUUUGGAAGAUGCAAUCACCCCAGAUGGCUUAUCGCAAAGACGGAGCAUGAGAGAAAAGAUGCUGGCUUCACGUUCAAGUUCAACAAGGUGCAAUUAGAGCUCAGCGCUCUCCUCCCAUGUCCCUAAUAAGGUAUUUCUGGCAAAUGAUAAUUAAGUCAUGGCUUCGAGGCACUACGGUGUGACUCUUACAAAUGGGCCAACUCGAUUCGUCAAAAUCACGUUUAAGCAACGCUUUGAUCCCACCUGCAGCCCACACCUGUUUUGCGGGGCUGGGUGACCGGCGGGAGCGCGCAGGCUCAGUUCCGCCCACUGCCCCACCUUGCAUCGCGUUCACCGGCUGCCCCGGCCCGUGUGCCCUGACUUUGAUCUCCGGGCGUCGUGGAAGCCAUCGGCUGUGACAAGAGUUUUGGUUCGGCCUCACUGCCUUGGAAUGCAAGUCUCAAGGGUUCUGCCCCUGGAAAUUGGAUGACGAGGUGGCACACGUUCCAGGAGGGGAAAAGGUGAGAUUUUCUGGGAGAGGUACUGGCAGCAGGAAGAUUCAAUCUAGUCCCCAGACCUGGUUGUCCACAAAGGCAGAUAUGCCCUCACUGCUAAAGCAAGGAAGGAGCAUGAAGUUUUCAAAGCAAUUUGCCAAGAGUGUUCCUGGCCCCUCGUCCUGGAAAAAAGGUCUCGCCAUCUUCCCUCAAGGAUUCUUUGGACUUCAAAGAAGACUAUGAGUAGCUGGCAGGAGGAAUAGGCCCCAGAUGGAAAUGUUAUCAGCACCCACGUGUGCAUACCUCUGGAAAUGUUCACAUUUUAAAAUUGCAGAGUUAGCAUGCUCUGGUCACCUGUAGGGGCCCUCUUUGAGGCUCGGAGGAACAUCUGAAGGAAGAGGUUCAGAAGACACCCCGGUGUGAGCUGGUGAUGGAAGUCAGCCUUAGCUUUCUAUUUCCUUGUUUUCAUUAGCUUGAGUUACAAACCGAGACUUUAUUGAAUGCCCUUUUUGAUCCAUGUCUUGAAUUUGUCAGGAUCAUUUCAUGUGGCAGCAGGGGAGAAGCUGGCUGAGACCCAACAUAAAAGAUGCACCAUUCUGGUGGGAUAUGAUGGCUGGUUUUUUCUUUCCAAUUGAGAAGACCUCCUUGACCACACAUGGGUGGAAAAGACUCCUUGGACGCCAAAGAGGAGUCACGUCAAGCGCUUUUCCCUACCCAGAUGCCUUUUCGAGUAAAAUUCAUCUUGGCUAAGAAAUGCAUCUGCACGUGUGGAAAGAUACUGAGAUAUACCAAAUAUGGACUGUGAACCAGGUAAAUCAAAAUGGCCAAAGGAAACCUGGAAGAAAUGCCCCAUAAAAGUAAUUCGAACUGCCAUGAGGGUGCCACUCUCUCACCCUGAGUCUGCCCGUGUGUCUGUCCACACGUACUGUACUCUUUUUCCUUUUAAUAAAUACUAUACUUGUUUCCCUAC